CCUACGGGCGGCAGCAGUGAGGAAUAUUGGUCAAUGGACGAGAGUCUGAACCAGCCAAGUAGCGUGAAGGAUGACUGCCCUAUGGGUUGUAAACUUCUUUUAUAAAGGAAUAAAACGAGGCACGUGUGCCUUUUUGCAUGUACUUUAUGAAUAAGGAUCGGCUAACUCCGUGCCAGCAGCCGCGGUAAUACGGAGGAUCCGAGCGUUAUCCGGAUUUAUUGGGUUUAAAGGGAGCGUAGAUGGGUUGUUAAGUCAGUUGUGAAAGUUUGCGGCUCAACCGUAAAAUUGCAGUUGAUACUGGAAGUCUUGAGUACAGUUGAGGUAGGCGGAAUUCGUGGUGAAGCGGUGAAAUGCUUAGAUAUCACGAAGAACCCCGAUUGCGAAGGCAGCUUGCUAAACUGUGACUGACAUUGAUGCUCGAAAGUGUGGGUAUCAAACAGGAUUAGAUACCCCUGUAGUC
Molecule: ribosomal RNA, 460 nt
Filed under: uncultured bacterium
Lineage: Bacteria
Description: partial 16S ribosomal RNA
Rfam family: Bacterial small subunit ribosomal RNA
Source: RNAcentral